GUGCUCUCUUCAGCAGCACUUAUGUAAAAUUAGAAGGAUAUAGAGAAGAUUAACAUGGCCCUUUACAAAGAUGAAAUGCACAUUUGUGAAACAUUCCGAAUUUUU
Molecule: small nuclear RNA, 105 nt
Filed under: Castor canadensis (American beaver)
Lineage: Eukaryota; Metazoa; Chordata; Mammalia; Rodentia; Castoridae
Source: RNAcentral